AUAGACCCGAAACCAGGUGAUCUAGCCAUGGGCAGGUUGAAGGUUGAGUAACAUCAACUGGAGGACCGAACCGACUAAUGUUGAAAAAUUAGCGGAUGACUUGUGGCUAGGGGUGAAAGGCCAAUCAAACCUGGAGAUAGCUGGUUCUCCCCGAAAGCUAUUUAGGUAGCGCCUCGGACGAAUACUACUGGGGGUAGAGCACUGUUAAGGCUAGGGGGUCAUCCCGACUUACCAACCCUUUGCAAACUCCGAAUACCAGUAAGUACUAUCCGGGAGACACACGGCGGG
Molecule: ribosomal RNA, 288 nt
Filed under: Vibrio parahaemolyticus
Lineage: Bacteria; Pseudomonadati; Pseudomonadota; Gammaproteobacteria; Vibrionales; Vibrionaceae
Description: partial 23S ribosomal RNA
Rfam family: Bacterial large subunit ribosomal RNA
Source: RNAcentral